UUCCGUUUGCCAAAGCGCGUUAUGGCGAAGCACCUGCAGCAAAUUCAUUACGAGGCUCAACUCCCUCUAACCUGGUCAGGGAAGAGAGGAGGAAGAAAAAAGAGAGGGGGGUGAGAGACGUCCACCCCCCCACCCCCCAAAUAAAAAGCGCGAACAAUGCUGCCUCAGUUCGUGCGCGCAACAAAAGAACCGAGGGAACUUGUUUGAAUUUCAGAGCACGUCCUCUGCUUACACAGAAGGAUGGACUUUACAUCUUCUCCUCCUCCUGUCCACAUCAUCAUCAUCACCAUCACCAUCAUCAUCAACCCCCCCCCAUCUCGCCACCAACAGAGAGAGGGGGUGAAAAAAAACGUGCACACUUUGCGCUCAUCUGUGCCAUGCACUUUUUCUAGUUGGCGCUCGUAUAGCUGUUCUGGGAAAGUUGUGUCUCUCUCCCUUGCGUUUCCCCACAUCCCCUCUUCCCUCCCUCUCUCACCUCCUCCCUCCUUCCUUCUCCUCCUCUCCGUCUAUCAUGUGGUGGUGAUGUGCUCGUGCUUUGCACACAGCAGCUGAAGCACGCUAAUACAGGCGACUGAGUGUGAGCGGCAACUUUAAAGUGAACCCCCCCCCCCCCCCCCCCCCAAAAAAAAAGAAAAAAAAAUCACGGCUGGGAUAUUUGAGGGGUACAUUUACCACAUGACGGUACGGACCCGACUGAACAGCACGCUCCUUCUCCUGCUUUGGACGGGUUUCUGAUCGAUUGCAGUGAUUUUUGGUUCACCCUUUGGAAAUGCUCAAGAAACGGAUCUGUGGAGAACUGCAGCCAGUAGGUCAUCGCUGCGUCGUCGGGAUCGCCACCGCUGCUGAUCCUACCUGAGUGCUGCAGGAAUAAGGAGGUGUAGAGAAGAGGUGUUGUACCAGAACUCGCGGGCCUCAGUGUGCAGCCGGGUUACCUGGCCUAAUUACUCCCAGUAUUACCACGUUUGCCUGACUGCAUGGAAGGGAAAAUUAGAACAGCAAGGCAUGUCACCGGGCAGAAAAAGUCAGUGCUCAAGUCUCUUUGAAACCUCUUGACCCUCGCAGAGAGGUUGGAUGGUGACCCCGUAGAUGGUGACCCAGAAACAAAUAAUGGCACGAGUCUCCAGGCUAAAGACGUCAAGGAUAUUCAUCUGAUCUCAGAGGUAAAAAUGUACCUGAAGUCAACGAGAGAAGAUCCCGGAUGCAAUUGAAACUGGAGCGUUGAGAAGUGCACAAUUCUCUCUCCAAGACUUUGACCUGGAUUAUGAUUGAAUUCAUGGGACUGAAACACCAAAUUGUUCCUUGUUGGACGGAG
Molecule: long non-coding RNA, 1312 nt
Organism: Thalassophryne amazonica
Lineage: Eukaryota; Metazoa; Chordata; Actinopteri; Batrachoidiformes; Batrachoididae
Exons: 5
Source: RefSeq, a predicted model, not a curated record